AGUCGAACGGCAGCACAGAGGAGCUUGCUCCUUGGGUGGCGAGUGGCGGACGGGUGAGGAAUACAUCGGAAUCUACUUUUUCGUGGGGGAUAACGUAGGGAAACUUACGCUAAUACCGCAUACGACCUACGGGUGAAAGCAGGGGACCUUCGGGCCUUGCGCGAUUGAAUGAGCCGAUGUCGGAUUAGCUAGUUGGCGGGGUAAAGGCCCACCAAGGCGACGAUCCGUAGCUGGUCUGAGAGGAUGAUCAGCCACACUGGAACUGAGACACGGUCCAGACUCCUACGGGAGGCAGCAGUGGGGAAUAUUGGACAAUGGGCGCAAGCCUGAUCCAGCCAUACCGCGUGGGUGAAGAAGGCCUUCGGGUUGUAAAGCCCUUUUGUUGGGAAAGAAAUCCAGCCGGCUAAUACCUGGUUGGGAUGACGGUACCCAAAGAAUAAGCACCGGCUAACUUC
RNAcentral lists this ribosomal RNA (455 nucleotides) under Stenotrophomonas sp. CB1-2-A1. RNAcentral's name for it is "bacterial SSU rRNA". It matches the Rfam family "Bacterial small subunit ribosomal RNA", at positions 60 to 504 of the family's 1533-position model. The record is from RNAcentral. Lineage: Bacteria; Pseudomonadati; Pseudomonadota; Gammaproteobacteria; Lysobacterales; Lysobacteraceae.